UUUGCCCUCGAAUAAUUGAUUGCAGAUUCUAAUUCUCAUUCGGUUCAGACAGGGGCAUAUAACAAUUUGAAUCCUUACUUUAUUUAUGAAAAGGGUGUUGCCUUUUAGCGUCCCUUACCUAGAUGGAUUCAUACACCU
This is a small nucleolar RNA of Lolium rigidum, 138 nucleotides long. RefSeq annotates it as small nucleolar RNA snoR138. The record is from RefSeq and is a predicted model, not a curated record. The transcript has a single exon. Lineage: Eukaryota; Viridiplantae; Streptophyta; Magnoliopsida; Poales; Poaceae.